RNAcentral lists this long non-coding RNA (816 nucleotides) under Salmo salar (Atlantic salmon). Its description in RNAcentral is "lncRNA (ENSSSAG00000092764.1, ENSSSAG00000119570.1)". The record is from RNAcentral. Lineage: Eukaryota; Metazoa; Chordata; Actinopteri; Salmoniformes; Salmonidae.
GUUUAAGAGCCUGUUCUGAGCACAGAGAUCAGAGGAUUAAAAAGAUCAUAUCUCUUGAGUAUAAGUACCUCUAAUUGGCUCUCUCCUGCCAGAGAAGAGAGAUGUGUUUUAGAACAGAGAGAGGUGUGUUUUAGAACAGAGAGAUGUGUUUUAGAACAGAGAGAUGUGUUUUAGAACAGAGAGAUGUGUUUUUGAACAGAGAGAUAUGUGUUUUAGAACGGAGAGAGAUGUGUUUUUGAACAGAGAGAUAUGUGUUUUUGAACAGAGAGAUGUGUUUUAGAACAGAGAGAUGUGUUUUAGAACAGAGAGAUGUGUUUUAGAACGGAGAGAGAUGUGUUUUAGAACAGAGAGAGGUGUGUUUUAGAACAGAGAGAUGUGUUUUAGAACAGAGAUGUGUUUUAGAACAGAGAUGUGUUUUAGAACAGAGAGAUGUGUUUUAGAACAGAGAGAUGUGUUUUAGAACAGAGAGAUGUGUUUUAGAACAGAGAGAGAUGUGUUUUUGAACAGAGAGAGAUGUGUUUUUGAACAGAUAGAGAUGUGUUUUAGAACAGAGAGGUGUGUUUUAGAACAGAGAGAUGUGUUUUAGAACAGAGAGAGGUGUGUUUUAGAACAGAGAGAGGUGUGUUUUAGAAGAGAGAUGUGUGUUUUAGAACAGAGAGAUGUGUUUUGAACAGAGAUGUGUUUUAGAACAGAGAUGUGUUUUAGAACAGAGAUGUGUUUUGAACAGAGAUGUGUUUUGAACAGAGAGAGGUGUGUUUUAGAACAGAGAGAGGUGUGUUUUAGAACAGAGAGAGAUGUGUUUUAGAACAGAGAGAG